GAUGAACGCUGGCGGCGUGCCUAAUACAUGCAAGUCGAGCGAACGGACGAGAAGCUUGCUUCUCUGAUGUUAGCGGCGGACGGGUGAGUAACACGUGGAUAACCUACCUAUAAGACUGGGAUAACUUCGGGAAACCGGAGCUAAUACCGGAUAAUAUUUUGAACCGCAUGGUUCAAUAGUGAAAGACGGUCUUGCUGUCACUUAUAGAUGGAUCCGCGCUGCAUUAGCUAGUUGGUAAGGUAACGGCUUACCAAGGCAACGAUGCGUAGCCGACCUGAGAGGGUGAUCGGCCACACUGGAACUGAGACACGGUCCAGACUCCUACGGGAGGCAGCAGUAGGGAAUCUUCCGCAAUGGGCGAAAGCCUGACGGAGCAACGCCGCGUGAGUGAUGAAGGUCUUCGGAUCGUAAAACUCUGUUAUUAGGGAAGAACAAAUGUGUAAGUAACUGUGCACAUCUUGACGGUACCUAAUCAGAAAGCCACGGCUAACUACGUG
Molecule: ribosomal RNA, 497 nt
Filed under: uncultured bacterium
Lineage: Bacteria
Description: partial 16S ribosomal RNA
Rfam family: Bacterial small subunit ribosomal RNA
Source: RNAcentral